Molecule: transfer RNA, 72 nt
Filed under: Ictidomys tridecemlineatus (thirteen-lined ground squirrel)
Lineage: Eukaryota; Metazoa; Chordata; Mammalia; Rodentia; Sciuridae
Description: Spermophilus tridecemlineatus (thirteen-lined ground squirrel) tRNA
Rfam family: tRNA
About the family: Transfer RNA (tRNA) molecules are approximately 80 nucleotides in length. Their secondary structure includes four short double-helical elements and three loops (D, anti-codon, and T loops). Further hydrogen bonds mediate the characteristic L-shaped molecular structure. tRNAs have two regions of fundamental functional importance: the anti-codon, which is responsible for specific mRNA codon recognition, and the 3' end, to which the tRNAs corresponding amino acid is attached (by aminoacyl-tRNA synthetases). tRNAs cope with the degeneracy of the genetic code in two manners: having more than one tRNA (with a specific anti-codon) for a particular amino acid; and 'wobble' base-pairing, i.e. permitting non-standard base-pairing at the 3rd anti-codon position.
Source: Rfam by way of RNAcentral
UAAAUUGUGGCUUAGUGGUAAAGCACUUACCUUGCAUGUGUGAGGCCCUGGGUUCAGUCCUCAGCAAUAAAU